Molecule: long non-coding RNA, 509 nt
Organism: Anopheles merus
Lineage: Eukaryota; Metazoa; Arthropoda; Insecta; Diptera; Culicidae
Exons: 2
Source: RefSeq, a predicted model, not a curated record
ACUCUCACACACUAACGUAAACCGGAUAGCUCUUUCAUCUCAUUCUUUCGUGUACAGCUGGCAAGAAGCGCACGCAGUCGCUUCUCUCGCCAUCCGCUACCCUGGCCCACGAGUCCAGAGUGCUACUAACUCCAGCUAACGGCUCGAACAGCCCAACCAGUUUUCCUCCAUCCGUCUUAUGUGUGGUCGAGAGCCCCCACGCAUUGAUGCGUCGCGAAUAUCUCUUAUCCCAACAACACUCCGUUCUCUACCCGCGUGCGUGCGUUUUCAUUUGUGCUGUAAGAAGGAGAAGAACAAAAGAAAUCAACGAGUGUAUGUGUGUAGAGGUAGCGUGUUUGUAUGCGCGCGGAAUCAAUCAAUAAACAUUUUGUUUAGUGUGGAAAGUAGAGCUUCUCGUGCGCGCUUGUGUGUGUGUGCGUGAGAGAGAGAGAGAGAGAGAGAGAGAGAGAGAGAGAGAGAGAGAGUGUGUCUGUGUCUGUGUGUAGUGGCCGUGUUUUCGAGUUUUGGGG